UCAGUAAAAGAUGGCGAAGAAAGUUUUGUGUCUCAUUGCCACAAUUUCCACGAAAUGGUCAGAAAUCUGGGACAGAAAUUGGCAUCGAUCUGUUAUGGAAUGCAUUUUCCAGUAAACAGGUGGUGAGAGAUGUGCUCCAGCUGUGAACGCGUCUUCCGUCUUAAACAAUGAAAGGACAUUUUGGCAGUGACUCGACCGUGCACACGGAGAUUGAAUACGUUCUCCAUCAAUGAGGUCAUCAGACACGUGUUCCACAGCGGCUGCAUCCAUGUCAAGAUUACAUGUCGCAUGUCAGAGUUCGUCUGCUAGUAAAUUUGCUGGGUUAACAUUUAAUAUGAUAGUGUUAUGAUUGCUUUGGGUUGUAAUGUUCGUCAUCAGAACGUGUAUCAAAUGAAAAGUGGGAUGUAAGGAAUAUUUUUCACGAAACGGAUUAAGGCCGCGUU
Long non-coding RNA from Lingula anatina, 443 nucleotides. The record is from RefSeq and is a predicted model, not a curated record. NCBI's taxonomy places the organism in Eukaryota, Metazoa, Brachiopoda, Lingulata, Lingulida, Lingulidae.